Molecule: ribosomal RNA, 429 nt
Filed under: Fusobacteriota bacterium
Lineage: Bacteria; Fusobacteriati; Fusobacteriota
Description: Fusobacteria bacterium partial 16S ribosomal RNA
Rfam family: Bacterial small subunit ribosomal RNA
Source: RNAcentral
UGGGGAAUAUUGCGCAAUGGGCGAAAGCCUGACGCAGCGACGCCGCGUGAGGGAUGAAGGUUUUCGGAUCGUAAACCUCUGUCAGAAGGGAAGAAACCGCACUGUGCUAAUCAGCAGUGCCUUGACGGUACCUUCAAAGGAAGCACCGGCUAACUCCGUGCCAGCAGCCGCGGUAAUACGGAGGGUGCAAGCGUUAAUCGGAAUUACUGGGCGUAAAGCGCACGUAGGCUGCUUUGUAAGUCAGGGGUGAAAUCCCACGGCUCAACCGUGGAACUGCCUUUGAUACUGCUUAGCUUGAAUCCGGGAGAGGGUGGCGGAAUGCCAGGUGUAGGAGUUAAAUCCGUAGAUAUCUUGAGGAACAUCAGUGGCGAAGGCGGCCACCUGGACCGGUAUUGACGCUGAGGUGCGAAAGCGUGGGGAGCAAACAGG